AGAGUCAUUGUGUCAGUGUUAGUUUAGGUGCGUGUGUAGAGCUUGCAUGUGAUAGAUGAUAUGUGUUUGCAUGGGAGUUUGGAGAUUAGAAGACGAAAACAGGUAGGCAUUGGGGAUUAUAUGGUAUCGAUUAUAGAGUAGGGAUUAUAGGAUAGAGAUUGAUUGAUGGAUUGAUGGAUUAAUUGAUUGCUAUUGCUUAUUAAGUAAAAUAGUUUUCACAAAAGAUCACAUUACAUUUUGUAAGGAGUGUUCACUGAAAUGCCUUAAAAAGGUUUUAAAACAUUAUUAUGGCCUACUAGUACUGAAUUUCUUACAAGUUGUUUGGAACUCACCCCAAUCUAUAUUGUCUUUUCUGGUUAGGGAACCCUGAUAGGGUCAGCAAUGAGUAAUAGUGUGAGAAGAGUUUCCUAGCUUUGGAUUUAAGUUAUUCGAUAUGAGCUAUUAUAAAUUUAUGUAUUUAAAUUUGUGUGGCUUAACUGUCUUAUGUAAUAGAAUUUUAUAUUUAGAAUUUAAAUAAAAAAAGAUAUUUAUUUUACUACUUACCUGUAUAUGAAUGAAAU
RNAcentral lists this long non-coding RNA (560 nucleotides) under Carica papaya (papaya). Its description in RNAcentral is "long non-coding RNA (CPAP_LNC000269)". The record is from RNAcentral. Lineage: Eukaryota; Viridiplantae; Streptophyta; Magnoliopsida; Brassicales; Caricaceae.